CGUUUUAAAUAUUCAACGAAAGUGACUCAUAAAAUAUAUGUCGUAAGUUGAUUUUAUUUUAAAAACGACUUCGAGCAGCCAAAUCACUUUUGAGUUUAUGACUAUCAAUGUUAAACUCCAUAGCUUUAUAAUUUAGAACCCUACUCAGAAAACAAGAGAACUCAUGAAUCAAGUUGUGGGACAAGCUAGCCUUCGAUGAGGACUUUUUUGAUAGAACUUAUCCGCAUUUGUAUUGCAUGAAGAGGAAAACCACAAAAGCAUCCUACAGUUAGCCUGAUAACGAGGGGAAUCUAACCAAUAAUCCGUGUACCACUGAGGAUAUUUAACACCAGAAUUGUGAUCGACGCGAAUCAAGAUGAGAGUCGCUUCGGGACAGUCAUCGGUGGAAUUCGAACCUGAGACACCUCACUGAUAGGCAUUUUAUCCUCUAAGCCACCAUAGUUACAUCAUGAGUAUAUAGUUCUUAUUCUACUCGAGCACUGCAGCCUAUCACAAGCCAAGGCUGUCUUUCAAAGUUUCCUUCAAAUGAUCCGAUCCUGAGCUUUUGGACUCAAUUUAUUUACUUCCAUCUACUCAAAAUCUCUUUCAGCAUUAUUCAGUGGGUUGUCUUCCUUUCGCUAUCUUUGAUAUACUCGGGAAAAGUUAUUUCUUGCUGGAUAUGAAUCAUCAUCUUUAAAUACUGUAUGAUCCACUCAUCAAAUACAAGAUGGUUUUAUUAUUUUUGAUGACAGUUCGUCAUUUUUUUUAAUCUAUCAUUUUCUAAAAUACUCGCUGUUAUAUUUUGUUCUAUUUAUUGUCACCGACAAUAAUUUAUAUUUGAUAUAAUGAGUAUCGUAUUGGAUACUUUAGAAGUAUUGUAAGACCACUUUAAAAUAUCGUUAUCACAAUGUUUCAAGAUAUCAAAAUUUGACGAUUCAAUGUUAUAUUGCUGAACUCUAGUUAUUACACGUAUUAAAUCGAGCAAAAUAUUAUUUUGUUUUUCUUAAGUAUAGUCUGCAGUACUGGAUUUUUUUCUCUUUUAGUUUUAAAUACGAAUCCAUUUCCGGAAUGCUGUAUGUAUAUGAAAUUAGUGGAGUAACUAAUGAUCCAGAAGCUGGAUUAUUCUGGCUGCUUUAUCAGGGUCAAGCUAAUGUGACAGACAAUCUCACUCACUACAAUUUCGGUCCAGAUCAACUUAUUAUGCAAGACAAGGAGCAUUUGGUCAUGUGGUACAAGAAAGCACAUUUCUGAAAAGUAUUUUAUUACUAGUUUGACCAACGAUAGUGUAAAUAAAAAUUUAAAAGAGUACUUUUUACACAUGUUAAACUUUAAGUUCUAUUUUGUAUGUAAAAAAAAAUAAAGGAUUCGUCUCA
Parasteatoda tepidariorum (common house spider) is the source of this 1352-nucleotide non-coding RNA. The record is from RefSeq and is a predicted model, not a curated record. Lineage: Eukaryota; Metazoa; Arthropoda; Arachnida; Araneae; Theridiidae.